CAGUAGCCGCGGGAAAACGAAGGGGGCUAGCGUUGCUCGGAAUUACUGGGCGUAAAGGGAGCGUAGGCGGACUGUUAAGUUGGGGGUGAAAGCCCGGGGCUCAACCUCGGAAUAGCCUUCAAUACUGGCAGUCUUGAGUAUGGGAGAGGUAAGCGGAACUCCGAGUGUAGAGGUGAAAUUCGUAGAUAUUCGGAAGAACACCAGUGGCGAAGGCGGCUUACUGGCCCAUUACUGACGCUGAGGCUCGAAAGCGUGGGGAGCAAACAGGAUUAGAUACCCCCGUAGUCCCUGUCUCUUAUAC
Molecule: ribosomal RNA, 301 nt
Filed under: uncultured bacterium
Lineage: Bacteria
Description: partial 16S ribosomal RNA
Rfam family: Bacterial small subunit ribosomal RNA
Source: RNAcentral